This 1007-nucleotide ribosomal RNA is filed under the name Spegazzinia deightonii. RNAcentral's name for it is "SSU rRNA". It matches the Rfam family "Eukaryotic small subunit ribosomal RNA", at positions 87 to 1103 of the family's 1831-position model. The record is from RNAcentral. Lineage: Eukaryota; Fungi; Ascomycota; Dothideomycetes; Pleosporales; Didymosphaeriaceae.
CUGCGAAUGGCUCAUUAAAUCAGUUAUCGUUUAUUUGAUAGUACCUUACUACUUGGAUACCUGUGGUAAUUCUAGAGCUAAUACAUGCUAAAAACCCCAACUUCGGGAGGGGUGUAUUUAUUAGAUAAAAAACCAAUGCCCCUCGGGGCUCCUUGGUGAUUCAUAAUAACUUCUCAGAUCGCAUGGCCUUGCGCCGGCGACGGUUCAUUCAAAUUUCUGCCCUAUCAACUUUCGAUGGUAAGGUAGUGGCUUACCAUGGUUUCAACGGGUAACGGGGAAUUAGGGUUCGAUUCCGGAGAGGGAGCCGGAGGAACGGCUACCACAUCCAAGGAAGGCAGCAGGCGCGCAAAUUACCCAAUUCCGAUACGGAGAGGUAGUGACAAUAAAUACUGAUACAGGGCUCUUUUGGGUCUUGUAAUUGGAAUGAGUACAAUUUAAACCUCUUAACGAGGAACAAUUGGAGGGCAAGUCUGGUGCCAGCAGCCGCGGUAAUUCCAGCUCCAAUAGCGUAUAUUAAAGUUGUUGCAGUUAAAAAGCUCGUAGUUGAACCUUUGGCCUGGCUGGCAGGUCCGCCUCACCGCGUGCACUUGUCCGGCCGGGCCUUUUCUUCUGGGCAACCGCAUGCCCUUCACUGGGUGUGUUGGGGACCAGGACUUUUACUUUGAAAAAAUUAGAGUGUUCAAAGCAGGCCUUUGCUCGAAUACGUUAGCAUGGAAUAAUAGAAUAGGACGUGCGGUCCUAUUUUGUUGGUUUCUAGGACCGCCGUAAUGAUUAAUAGGGACAGUCGGGGGCAUCAGUAUUCAAUUGUCAGAGGUGAAAUUCUUGGAUUUAUUGAAGACUAACUACUGCGAAAGCAUUUGCCAAGGAUGUUUUCAUUAAUCAGUGAACGAAAGUUAGGGGAUCGAAGACGAUCAGAUACCGUCGUAGUCUUAACCAUAAACUAUGCCGACUAGGGAUCGGGCGGUGUUUCUAUUGUGACCCGCUCGGCACCUUACGAGAAAUCAAAG